AGCAGCCGCGGUAAUUCCAGCUCCAAUAGCGUAUAUUAAAGUUGUUGCAGUUAAAAAGCUCGUAGUUGAAUUUCGGGAUCAAUACGUCGGUCGUGCUUCGGUACGUACUAACGUCAUUGGUUUCUCCCUUCUGACGAACCAUGAUGCCAUUAAUUUGGUGUUAUGGGAAAUCAGGACUGUUACUUUGAAAAAAUUAGAGUGUUUAAAGCAGGCUCACGCUUGAAUACAUUAGCAUGGAAUAAUGAAAUAGGACGUUCGACCCUAUUUUGUUGGUUUCUAGGAUCAACGUAAUGAUUAAUAGGGAUAGUUGGGGGCAUUAGUAUUCAAUUGUCAGAGGUGAAAUUCUUGGAUUUAUUGAAGACUAACUACUGCGAAAGCAUUUGCCAAGGAUGUUUUCAUUAAUCAAGAACGAAAGUUAGGGGAUCGAAGACGAUCAGAUACCGUCGUAGUCUUAACCAUAAACUAUGCCGACUAGGGAUCGGAUGAUGUUAAUUUUUUAAUGACUCAUUCGGCGCCUUACG
This 521-nucleotide ribosomal RNA is filed under the name uncultured Glomeraceae. Its description in RNAcentral is "SSU rRNA". It matches the Rfam family "Eukaryotic small subunit ribosomal RNA", at positions 569 to 1092 of the family's 1831-position model. Lineage: Eukaryota; Fungi; Glomeromycota; Glomeromycetes; Glomerales; Glomeraceae. The record is from RNAcentral.